AUUGAACGCUGGCGGCAGGCCUAACACAUGCAAGUCGAGCGGAUGAAGGGAGCUUGCUCCUGGAUUCAGCGGCGGACGGGUGAGUAAUGCCUAGGAAUCUGCCUGGUAGUGGGGGAUAACGUCCGGAAACGGGCGCUAAUACCGCAUACGUCCUGAGGGAGAAAGUGGGGGAUCUUCGGACCUCACGCUAUCAGAUGAGCCUAGGUCGGAUUAGCUGGUUGGUGGGGUAAAGGCCUACCAAGGCGACGAUCCGUAACUGGUCUGAGAGGAUGAUCAGUCACACUGGAACUGAGACACGGUCCAUGCGCCUACGGGAGGCAGCAGUGGGGAAUAUUGGACAGUGGGCGGAAGCCUGAUCCAGCCAUGCCGCGUGUGUGAAGAAGGUCUUCGGAUUGUAAAGCACUUUAAGUUGGGAGGAAGGGCAGUAAGUUAAUACCUUGCUGUUUUGACGUUACCAACAGAAUAAGCACCGGCUAACUUCGUG
This 484-nucleotide ribosomal RNA is filed under the name uncultured bacterium. RNAcentral's name for it is "partial 16S ribosomal RNA". It matches the Rfam family "Bacterial small subunit ribosomal RNA", at positions 30 to 507 of the family's 1533-position model. The record is from RNAcentral.